UUGAGUCUAACUUGGUGCAUUGAUCUUAAGAUUCUUCCGAGCAUCACUGGUAUGAAGUCUCUUAAAACCAUUCGUCUUUCCGGUUGCUCAAGCCUUGAGAAGUUUUCCUGAGAUUUCAGAUGUUAUGGAGAAGCUAUCAGAGUUAUAUUUAGGUGGGACUGCAAUUAAAGAACUGCCUUCAUCAAUUAAUAAACUCACGGGCCUUGCUACUUUGGACCUACGAGGCUGUCGAGAACUCAAGAGCCUGCCGAGCAGCAUUCAUAUGGGAUCUCUUCAAACCUUUAAUCUUUCUGGUUGCUCAAACCUUGAGAUGUUUCCAGUGAUUUCAGAAGUUAUGGAGGAGCUAUCAGAGCUUCAUUUAGAUGGGAUUGCAAUUAAAGAACUGCCUUCGUCAAUUAAUAAACUCACGGGCCUUACUGUUUUGGACCUAUCUGGGUGUCAAGAACUCAAGAGCCUGCCGAGCAGCAUUCAUAUGAGAUCUCUUCAAACCCUUAAUCUUUCUGGUUGCUCAAACCUUGAGAAGUUUCCUGAGAUUUCAGAUGUUAUGGAGAAGCUAUCAGAGUUAUAUUUAGGUGGGACUGCAAUUAAAGAACUGUCUUCGUCAAUUAAUAAACUCACGGGUCUUCCUGCUUUGGACCUACGUGGCUGUCAAGAACUCAAGAGCCUGCCGAGGAGCAUUCAUAUGAGAUCUCUUCAAACCCUUAAUCUUUCUGGUUGCUCAAACCUUGAGAAGUUUCCUGAGAUUUCAGAUGUUAUGGAGAAGUUAUCAGAGUUAUAUUUAGGUGGGACUGCAAUUAAAGAACUGUCUUCAUCAAUUAAUAAACUCACGGGCCUUGCUACUUUGGACCUACGAGGCUGUCGAGAACUCAAGAGCCUGCCGAGCAGCAUUCAUAUGGGAUCUCUUCAAACCCUUAAUCUUUCUGGUUGCUCAAACCUUGGGAAGUUUACAGAAAUUUCAGAUGUUAUGGAGAAGCUAUCAGAGUUAUAUUUAGCUGGGACUGCAAUUAAAGAACUGUCUUCGUCAAUUAAUAAACUCACGGGCCUUACUGUUUUGGACCUAUCUGGGUGUCAAGAACUCAAGAGCCUGCCGAGCAGCAUUCAUAUGAGAUCUCUUCAAACCCUUAAUCUUUCUGGUUGCUCAAACCUUGAGAAGUUUCCAGAGAUUUCAGAUGUUAUGGAGAAGCUAUCAGAGUUAUAUUUAGAUGGGACUGCAAUUAAAGAACUGCCUUCGUCAAUUAAUAAACUCACGGGCCUUACUGUUUUGGACCUAUAUGGGUGUCAAGAACUCAAGAGCUUGCCGAGCAGCAUUCGUGUGGGAUCUCUUCAUACCCUUUUUCUUUCAGGCUGCUCAAAACUUGAGAAGUUUCAUGAGAUUUCAGAUGUUGUGGAGGAGCUAUCAGAGCUUCAUUUAGAUGGGACUGCAAUUAAAGAAUUGCCUUCGUCAAUUAAUAAACUCACAGGUCUUCUUACUUUGGACCUACGAGGCUGUCGAGAACUCAAGAGCCUGCCGAGCAGCAUUCAUAUGGGAUCUCUUCAAACUCUUAAUCUUUCUGGUUGCUCAAACCUUG
Molecule: long non-coding RNA, 1568 nt
Filed under: Malus domestica (apple)
Lineage: Eukaryota; Viridiplantae; Streptophyta; Magnoliopsida; Rosales; Rosaceae
Description: long non-coding RNA (MDOM_LNC001160)
Source: RNAcentral